CAGCCGCCGCGGGAAUACGGAGGGGGCUAGCGUUGUUCGGAAUUACUGGGCGUAAAGCGCACGUAGGCGGCUUUGUAAGUUAGAGGUGAAAGCCCGGAGCUCAACUCCGGAAUUGCCUUUAAGACUGCAGAGCUAGCAGGUGAGAGAGGUGAGUGGAAUUCCGAGUGUAGAGGUGAAAUUCGUAGAUAUUCGGAAGAACACCAGUGGCGAAGGCGGCUCACUGGCUCAUACUGGACGCUGAGGUGCGAAAGCGUGGGGAGCAAACAGGAUUAGAUACCCGCGUAGUCCCUGUCUCUUAUAC
This 301-nucleotide ribosomal RNA is filed under the name uncultured bacterium. RNAcentral describes it as "partial 16S ribosomal RNA". It matches the Rfam family "Bacterial small subunit ribosomal RNA", at positions 509 to 807 of the family's 1533-position model. The record is from RNAcentral.